Molecule: unclassified non-coding RNA, 385 nt
Filed under: soil metagenome
Description: partial contains 5.8S ribosomal RNA, internal transcribed spacer 2, and large subunit ribosomal RNA
Rfam family: 5.8S ribosomal RNA (bases 1-120)
Source: RNAcentral
GAUGAAGAACGUAGCGAAAUGCGAUAAGUAAUGUGAAUUGCAGAAUUCAGUGAAUCAUCGAAUCUUUGAACGCACCUUGCGCUCCUUGGUAUUCCGAGGAGCAUGCCUGUUUGAGUGUCAUUAAAUUCUCAACCUCAUCAGUUUUGUUAUGAAGCUGUGUGAGGCUUGGAUGUGGGGGUUUGUGCAGGCUGCCUCAGUGCGGUCUGCUCCCCUGAAAUGUAUUAGCGAGUUCCAACUGGGCUCCGUCUAUUGGUGUGAUAAUUAUCUACGCCGUGGAUUGCGCUUAGACUUGCUUCUAACCGUCCGCAAGGACAAUCUUUUGACAAUUUGACCUCAAAUCAGGUAGGACUACCCGCUGAACUUAAGCAUAUGAAUAAGCGGAGGA